AAAGCGCGACGAGAGGCGGCCGAGGCGGCCGGUGGGCGCGGCGCCAGCCCCGGCGGCGCGUUCCUGGCAGCGGCCCCUCCCCGCCGCGCGCUCCGCCCCCAACUUCUCAUUCACACUUUCCCCCCACCCCCCUCCCUUCUAAGAAGGCUGAUUUCUGGCAGAGGCGGGGGCGCCGCUUCGGGAGAGCGGGCAGUUCUAGGAGGCCGACCUGGAGAGCCUCCCGGUUCCCCUUCCCCUUUUCCCGGACCCCGCGGGGACACCCCCUCGCCGCCACCCGGGCCUCCCCGAGGGCCCAACUGCGGGUCAGGCGGCCCGGGCCAGCCGAAAGGGAAGUGGGGCUACCCCACAGCCAGGCAGCGGGGCUGGGGUCAGACCCGGGAGCCGGAGGUUGGAGACGUGCGACAGUCACCUGCGGGCAGAUUCCAGAGGGGAGACCCAGGGCUGCAGGGGACGCCCCUUCGUGGCAGCUACCCAGCCUCGGCCCACUGCCAGGCGGAGGCGAGAGGAUCACUUGAGCAUGGACAUUCAAGACCAGCCUGGGCAGCAAAUGUUACGUGGCUGCAUGACCAUACACUUCUGGGUAGAGCCCAGUGGAAGACAAAGAAGACUCAAGGAAUAGCCCUUGAGAUCCUGAACCAACUUUGAAGGCAGAGAAGUGGGCUAGAAGAAGUGGGGUUGGAGCCUCCACCAAGGACAAGAAGGCCUUAGCCCCCUGCUUCCAGCUCAAGCUGAAGUGGCUGUGAGCUGAGCUAAGAAGACCCCACUUCGCCAGGAGGAGUGCCUCACGCCUGUAAUCCCAGCACUUUGAAAGGCCGAGGCAGGUGGAUCACGUGAGGUCAGGAGUUUAAGACCAGCCUGGCCAACAUGGUGAGACCCCUUCUCUACUAAAAAUACAAAAAUUAGCCGGGAGUGGUGGCGCGCACCUGUAGUCCCAGCUACUCAGGAGGCUGAGGUGGAAGAAUCUCUUGAAUCGGGGAGACAGAGGCUGCAGCGGAGCUGAGAUAGUGCCACUGCAUUCCAGCCUGGGGGACAGAGUGAGACUGUCUCAAAAAAAAAAAAAAAAAAAAAAGAGAGAAAAGAACCCAUUUAAUUCUACCUGUGGGAGGUGGUUCAGGCAUUUGUGGAACUUUGCAAAUUGAAAACAUAGUUUGUGAAUACCUAAGACAGCCCCAUAGGUCAGCAUUCAAAAGGUGCAAUCAGGUGAGCCAGAGUCUUCCCCUCCUAUUCCCUGGCUUCCUGUGCCACCUGGGGCAUUUUUUUUUCUUUUCUUUUUUAUAGACCAGAAGAUGCAGGCUACUGUGGGCACAAUGCCUAUGAAUUAGCCCUGCUCUGCAAGAAGCAGCCAAAAAAAAAAAAAAAAGAUGCAGAGUGGUGGCAUGUGCACGGCUGAAUGCAGUCUGUAGACGCAGUAGCUGUGUGGCCUAUACAGAAUUAAAACAAUUUUUGAGAUAACAUUAAAAAAAUCUGGAAAUUUCACAUCUACAUUUGAAUCUGGAGCUUUCCUUGGAAAAACAGGACACUGGUAGCAGUGGACCACGUUCUGGCACAUUCCCGUUGGCCCUUCAGGUGGGGCAUGGGCUCCCCAGGUCAGCACAGGCCCACCCUCCAGGGUGACCACCCUCCCCUUCCUUCCCUUCCCUGCCAGGGUCUGCAGGCAUUGAGGCAGCAACUCAGCCUGACCUCUGCCUCUCCCAAGCUAAAGGGCAAGGAAGGCUAUGGACUUUGGGGCAUUUAUUUUGAGUCUCUUUCCUAAAUUCGAGGAGACUGGAAAUAAAUCAAGCCUGGCCAGGAGGAGGAGUCCAGCUCUUCCUGUCCCACUGGCCCUUCCCUCUUGGACCUCAUCUUAAGCAGGUAUGCUUGGCCUCUUCCUCUACUUCACUGUGGGGGCUGGGCAGGGAGAAGCUGCGGGGCGGGGGACCCUGGGAUUCCCUGGGACAUCACUGGGUUCCCCACGCUGUGGGCUGCUGGAUCUCGAGGCCUGCAGCUCCUUGCUCGGGUGGCGCUGGCGACCCGCCAUGCCACAAAAGGCUGAGAUUCCCCUGAAACCUAGAGCUGCUUUUAUCUCUCACUGGUGACAGAGAAACAAACCAGGAUGCUCUGCCCAAAAGGCAUUUCCAGAAAUCUGGGCUCUGGCUUCUUGUUGAUCAAAUGCCAGAACGUCCUGGGCUUCUUUGUGGCGAGGGAGCCAUUGAGCAUGGGUGUUUUGUUUUGCAGAUGACAAGAUUUUCGACACUGAAAAGUUUAAAUGAUGAAUGGAAGAGCUUUGAAUGGCUCCCACCCCUGCACAGGGAGGUUGCUGAUUCGAGCUUCUGUGUUUGUCAAAUUUGUUCCUCACAACUUUCGGCUCUUUUGCACCUCCCCUCGGCUCCAACAGGCUCAGGACCCUAGUCCCAGAAAUCCUCAUCUCUUCCAGUUUUAGGGCCACACAGGUCUAGCAGAGCCCAUGCCAGGUACAUGGCUACGGCUGUGGGGAAAGCUGUUUUUUGUCGUUGUUUCUUUUUUUAAGUACAGGGUCUCAGGCUGGGUGCAGUGGCUCAUGCCUGUAAUCCCAGCACUUUGGGAGGCCAAGAUGGGUGGAUCGCUUGAGCUCAGGAGUUCAAGACCAGCCUGGGCAACAUGGCAAAAGUCUGUCUCUAGAAAAAAUACAAAAAUUAGCCUGGCGUGGUGGUGUGCACUUGUAGUCCCAGCUACUUGGAAGGCUAAGGUGGGAGGAUGGCUUGAGCCCAGGAGAUGGGGGCUGCAGUGAGCCAAGAUCAUUCCACUGCACUCCAGUCUGGGCAACUGAGUGAGACCCUCUCUCAAAAAGAAAAAAAAGAAGAAAGAAAAAACACAGCGUCUCACUCUGUCACUCAGGCUGGAGUGCAAGUGGCUAUUCACAGGCGCGAUCUCGUUACUGACCUGCAUGAGAAUUUUCACCUGUCCCUUUUCCCACCUGGGCCGGUUCACCCCUCCUUGGGCAACCUGGUGGAGGCCACCAUAUUGAUGCUGAAUUUAGUGCGAACACCUGAUUGGCAUAGUGCACUGCAGCCGGAAUUCCUGGGCUCAGGUGAUCCUCCUGCCUCAGCCUCCCGAGUAGCUGAGACUAUAGGCACGUGCCACUGUGCACAGCAGAAAACUUUUCUAACCCAGGAGUUGGCAAACUAUGGGGCACGUGCUGGAGGACGAUUUUUGGAAAUAAGGUUUUAUUGAAUCACAGCCAGGCUCAUUCAAAUUGUCUGCGGCUGCUUUCACACCAGAGUUGAGUAGUUGCCACCGAGACCAUCUGGCCUACAAAGUAGAACAUAUUUAUUUAUUUAUUUGUGUGGGCUUUUUGUUUGUUUGUUUGGCUUUUUUGAGACAGGGUGUCACUCUGUCACCUAGGCUGGAGUGUAGUGGUGUGAUCACGGCUCACUGCAGCCUCCACCUCCCAGGCCCAAGUGAUCCUCCCACCUCAGCCUCCCAAGUAACUGGGACCACAGGCAUGAGCCACCAGGCUGAGUUCAUUAAAAAAAAUUUUUUUUUGUAGAAAUGGGGUUUCACUAUGUUGUCCAGGCUGGUCUCAAACUCCUGGUCUGAAGCCAUCUUCCCACUUGGCCUCCCAAAGUGUUGGGAUUACAGGCGGGAGCCACUGCUCCUGGCCUAAAAUAUUUACUAUUUGCCCUUUAAGAAAACAUAUGCUGGCCGGGCGCGGUGGCUCAUGCUUGUAAUCCCAGCGCUUUGGGAGGCUGAGGUGGGCAGAUUGUUUGAAGUCAGGGGUUCGAGACCAGCCUGGCCAAUAUGGAGAAACCCUGUCUCUACAGAAAUACAAAAAAAUUAGCUGGGCAUGGUGGUCCAUGCCUGUAAUCCCAGCUACGCUGGAGGCUGAGGCACGAGAAUCUCUCUUUUUUUUUUUUUUUUGAGAUGGACUCUCGCUCUGUCACCCAGGCUGGAGUGCAGUGGCACAAUCUCGGCUCACUGCAAGCUCCGCCGCCUGGGUUCACGCCAUUCUCCUGCCUCAGACUCCAGCUGGGACUGCAGGCGCCCACCACCACGCCCUGCUAAUUUUUUUUAUUAUUUUUAUUUUUAGUAGAGAUGGGGUUUCACCGUGUUAGCCAGGAUGGUCUCAAUCUCCUGACCUUGUGAUCCACCCGCCUCAGCCUCCCAAAGUCCUGGGAUUACAGGCGUGAGCCACCGCCACCACCAUGCCUGGCCGAGAAUCUCUUAAACUCAGGGUGGAGUUUGCAGUAAGCGGAGAUCACGCCACUGCAUUCCAGCCCGGGUGAUAGAGUGAGACUGUCUCAAAAAACAAAACAAAACUUGGCUGGGCUUGGUGGCUCAUGCCUGUGAUCCCAGCACUUUGGGAGGCUGGGGUGGGUGGAUCACCUGAGGUCAGUAGAUCAAGACCAGCCUGGUCCAUGUGGCGAAAUACUGUCUCUACUAAAAAUACAAAAAAUUAGCCGAACGUGGUAGCGGGCACCUGUAGUCCCAGCUACUCGGGAGGCUGAGGCAGGAGAAUCGCUUGAACCCAGGAGGCGGAGGUUGCAGUGAGCUGAGAUUGUGAUUGCACCAUUGCAUUCCAGUUUGAGUGACAGGGCGAGACUCUGUCUCCAAAAAAACAAAACAAAACCAAAACGUAUGCUGAGCCCUGCUUGGAGGGAAAAGAAGUCUGUCUUGUGCCAGGGAGAGCUGGAGUUAAGGCUUAGUGUUGGUGGGAACAGUAUCAGGGACUGUUGGGAAAGAUCAGAGUAACAGCUUAGCAGGGAGAGUAGAACUUGGGGAGGUGUUGGAGGGGGAUGAAGACAGGAAAAGGGCUGGGGCCUGUGGGGAGACUGGGGGCUCAGGGAAGCCAGGCCCAAAAGGUGGACUGAGCUUUCAGCCUUGCAAACUGAUAGCAAACAGUAGGUUAGAGGUCUUCCCAGGAGGCCAGGCCACCCUUGUCCCCACCAUUGGUGGAAAAGCAAGACCACAGUGGUUCCCUGUUCCAGCCGGGAGGCCCCAGAGCUCACUGCCUUUGGCCCUGUGUGCAUUCCUCACUCCAGCACUGGAGCCCGGUUCUGGGGCCAGAUCCUAUUCACAGUGCUCAGAGCACACAAAGAUUCAUGAGCUCGCCUUCUGAUGGGGCAGAGACAAAACACACAACAGCAAACGAUUAGGUCACUGUAAGGAAGAGGAAGAAACUAAAAUCCUGUUAUCCGGGUUGGAAAGCUGUUUCUAGGGGAGGGUGACAUUUGGACAGAGCUCAGGAUGAGAUGAGCUGAGGGAAGGUGCUUCUGAGCAGAGGGAAGAGCAAAUGUAAAGAUGCUGAGGAAGGCCGGGCGCGGUGGCUCACACCUGUAAUCCCAGUAGUUUGGCAAGGUCAGGAGUUCGAGACCAGCCUGGCCAACAUGGUGAAACCUUGUCUCUACUAAGAAUACGAAAAAAAUAGCUGGGGGUGGUGGCAGGCACCUGUAAUCCCAGCUACUCAGGGAGGCUGAGGCAGGAGAAUUGCUUGAACCCCCGAGGCAGAGGUUGCAGUGAGCCGAGAUUGUGCCAUUGCACUCCAGCCUGGGUGACAAGGGCAAAACUUUAUCUCAACAACAACAACAAAAAAGAUGCUGAGGAGGAUGCGGGCUUGAGAGAAGGCCAGGCCAGUGAGGCUGGACAUAUGACCAAGGGGAAGAAUAGAGGGAGAGGGAGGCAGCCACUCCCAGGUGGGCUCUGAAACCGUCUUUGCAAAAUUGUAACUGAGGAAAUUAUGACAGUAAAAGAAAUCAGACCUAAUCAACUCCAUCUUCUUUUUUUUUUUUUGAGAUGGAGUCUAGCUCUGUCGCCCAGGCUGGAGUACAGUGGCGUGAUCUCGGCUCACUCCAACCUCCGCCUCCCGGGUUCAAGCGAUUCUCCUGCCUCAGCCUCCUGGGUAGCUGGGACUACAGGCAUGUGCCACCCCGCCUGGCUAAUUUUUUUGUAUUUUUAGUAGAGAUGGGGUUUCACCGUGUUAGCCAGGAUGGUCUCGAUCUACUGACCUCAUGAUCCAACCACCUCGGCCUCCCAAAGUACUGGGAUUACAGGUGUAAGCCACUACACCCAGCCCCCAUCUUGCUUCUAGCCUUUAAGCAGUCCUUGUGGAUUCCUGGGUGUAGGCCGAACUAACUUUGGGAAGGAAUUCAGUUCAUGGUUUGACUCUGAAACAAAAUUGACAACAGCCCUUUCCCGAAAAGACCCCCUUCUUGCCUGGGGUCCAGUCGGCCUUUGCAGGACUAACAAAUUAGCUAUAAGAUUAGAAAUAAAAGUUUAGGGUCAUGCAGCCUCUGGCUCCAAGAAUCUGAACCUCCCCAAAUUGCUCCUGGGGAUAACAUCACUAUUGGAAAACCGCAGAUCAGUGCGUGAGAUAUUUUGCAGACUCUGCAUUCAUGGAUCAGCUGACACCACCCAGACCGGUUAUCUGGCUCAACCAGUUCUGCCAUCCCACCCAGGAAUAGAAGAUAGCAAGAAAAAUUCACUUCAACCUUCUACGAUUCCAUCUCCAACCUGACCAAUCAGCACUCCCCACUUCCCAAGCUCCUUUACUAGCCAAAUUCUCUUUAAAAACUCUGAUCCCCGAAUGCUUGGGGAGACUGAUUUGAGUAAUAAUAAAACUCUGGUCUCCCGCACAGUGGGCUCUGCGUGAAUCACUCUUUCUCCAUUGCAAUGCCUCUGUCUUGAUAAAUCAGUUCUGUCUGGGCAGCAGGCAAGGUGAACCCAUUGGGCAGUUACAGUUUCAUCCCAUCUCCAGCAAGCAGGCUGCAUUCCUUUUAACAAAGAACAGGCUCCUCACAAACAGCUGAACAGCCCCUCGGGACAGUUUCUCAUCUCUGGAGGCAGAAGGUGGGCCGGACAGCCACUUCCUCCCUUUGGAAUUUGCUAACAGCCCUGUGUUUGGGAGAGACCCUCUCUAGGCAAGCAAGCUAGAGGAGGAGGGGCCUUCCUCUUGUGUUACUGUGAUUUUCGGUUGAGGGAGUGAAUCACAGGCAGUGAGGCAUGGGCUGUUGGCUCAGGAUUUCCUGGUGUUUCCUGCCUGGGAGAGCUGCCCCACUCUCAGGGGCAGCAGCCCACCACUCCUUGACGUCAACUCUCCCUCCAAUGAAUGGGUUUCCUUUUCCGUUUGGGAAGACAUGGGAUCUGCCGUCAAUCCCGUCGACCCUGUCUUUCUAACCCUGGCACCUCCUGUCUGGGAAGGAGCGAGUGCGACUAACGAGAAGGCAGUGGGUGAGGGCAGGAGGGCGAGGGGGACUCAGAGGACAGAUGUCUUCUCGCCCGCAGUCAUUGAGAUGGGCAUCCAGAAACCCCAUCCACAGCAGUAGUGUCUGACCCAGAUUGAGAGCCGGCCACGCAGCUUUGGGACACCCUGAGUGCUCCCAGGCAGGCUCUCUGGGUCACCUUUGUUGUCUGGGAGGGUCUUAUCUCCUCUACUUGUUUUCAGUAACUAGCCCAGAUGAGACCUCCUGACACGAACAAUGCAUGUGCUGUCAUCCUGUAAAUGGAAUCAUUUAAAAAUUGCACAAUCUCUGAAAACCAUUAUUUAACAUUUUUGCAACCUCAAAAUGUAUGUGUCCCCAGCAAAGUCGUGGUUGCCUCACUCUGGUGAUAGCUCUGUCUGUUUUAAACUAGCCAUGAAGGCCAGAGGCUCUCGAUGUGUGGUUUCAGAAGGGACUGGGUCAUUCCUUGAUGUUAUCCUUAGGGUAAAUACUUAUUAGUGUGACUUACCAUGCUAUCAAUAUUGCUGUCUGUUGCUAGCAUUUCUUUAAGGUUGGGAAUUCCCAGUGAGCCUGUACCAUGGCUGUUUGUCUCAGUACCUCGCACAGCAAAGCACCCAUGCAGAAAAGCUGCCAGCUCCUUCUAGGAUGAUAACCAGGCUCCCAUAGCCCAUGUGGCGCUCACCGCUGAGCAUGACGGUGUAGCCAUACAGCAAGUGUUUACUCUGCAACAACCGUGGGCCAGGAACAGUGCAAAAGUGGAACCAUGCAAUGGAUGGCCUCAUUCUAGUUACUGGAAGUUAGGAAAUUUGAUGAUUCACCAUUUCUAACUUGGAAGGGUUGAAUCAAAUUCCAUGUAGUAUUAGUAAAGCUAUCUAAACGCAAAAGAAAACUUUAAGCCAAUCUGAAAUACUUGUUGAUUGUCAACAAUUUGGAAACUCCUUAAUGGCACCAAAUAACCAACAUUAACAUUUGGGGGUAUUUACUUUCAGUCUUUCUGUGUACAUACACGCAUUUCCUCUUUCUUCCUCUCCUUUAAUGAAAUGAGAUGGUCUCUACGCUACUCCUUGGUAAUUUGGCUUUUACACUUAAUGUCAUUAAAUAUUCUUCCAGAACAUGUUAUUUUUAUGAUUGUGUGGUCUUCCAACAUACCGAUGUAUCAUUAUUUAACCAACCCCCCUACCCUGAAGAUUUGCUUCCACACUUCCGAUAUCAUGAACAAGGCUGAGAUGAACAUUCUUGUGGGAAUGUGUAGUUGAUUUCCCUGCAUAAUCUGUGGAAGUGGACUUUGGAGUGUUUUUUUCAGUGUGUCCAUAUCUUUUUUUUUUGAGACUGAGUUUCGCUCUUGUUGCCCAGGCUGGAGUGCAAUGGCGCGAUCUCGACUCACUGCAACCUCCGCCUCCCGGGUUCAAGCGAUUCUCCUGCCUCAGCCUUCCUGAG
RNAcentral lists this long non-coding RNA (8609 nucleotides) under Homo sapiens (human). Its description in RNAcentral is "non-protein coding lnc-PGS1-1:13". Lineage: Eukaryota; Metazoa; Chordata; Mammalia; Primates; Hominidae. The record is from RNAcentral.